GUCUACGGCCAUGCCACCCUGAACACACCUGAUCCCAUCUGAUCUCAGAAGCUAAGCAGGGUUGGGCCUGGUUAGUACUUGGAAGGGAGACUACCUAGGAAUACCAGAUGUUGUAGGUG
This 119-nucleotide ribosomal RNA is filed under the name Pteropus alecto (black flying fox). The record is from RNAcentral. Lineage: Eukaryota; Metazoa; Chordata; Mammalia; Chiroptera; Pteropodidae.